AGUGGCGGACGGGUGAGUAACGCGUGAGAAUCUGCCUUGGGGUCGGGGACAACCACUGGAAACGGUGGCUAAUACCGGAUAAGCCGAUUGGUGAAAGAUUUAUUGCCCGAAGAGGAGCUCGCGUCUGAUUAGCUAGUUGGUGAGGUAAGAGCUCACCAAGGCAGCGAUCAGUAGCUGGUCUGAGAGGACGAUCAGCCACACUGGGACUGAGACACGGCCCAGACUCCUACGGGAGGCUGCAGUGGGGAAUUUUCCGCAAUGGGCGAAAGCCUGACGGAGCAAGACCGCGUGAGGGAGGAAGGCUCUUGGGUUGUAAACCUCUUUUCUCAGGGAAGAAGCUCUGACGGUACCUGAGGAAUCAGCCUCGGCUAACUCCGUGCCAGCAGCCGCGGUAAUACGGAGGAGGCAAGCGUUAUCCGGAAUUAUUGGGCGUAAAGCGUCCGCAGGUGGCGAUUCAAGUCUGCUGUCAAAGCACGGGGCUUAACUCCGUAAAGGCAGUGGAAACUGAAUAGCUAGAGUGCCGUAGGGGUAGAGGGAAUUCCCGGUGUAGCGGUGAAAUGCGUAGAGAUCGGGAAGAACAUCGGUGGCGAAAGCGCUCUACUGGACGGCAACUGACACUCAGGGACGAAAGCUAGGGGAGCGAAUGGGAUUAGAUACCCC
Molecule: ribosomal RNA, 660 nt
Filed under: uncultured bacterium
Lineage: Bacteria
Description: bacterial SSU rRNA
Rfam family: Bacterial small subunit ribosomal RNA
Source: RNAcentral